This is a long non-coding RNA of Tupaia belangeri chinensis (Chinese tree shrew), 992 nucleotides long. RefSeq lists it as uncharacterized. Lineage: Eukaryota; Metazoa; Chordata; Mammalia; Scandentia; Tupaiidae. The transcript is spliced from 4 exons. The record is from RefSeq and is a predicted model, not a curated record.
GAGAAGAAUGGGGCCUGAGGUCAGAGAGAUGGAGAAGCAGCCUGCACCAAUAGCUUGAGAGACCCCAGAGUGAGUCUGUGGAGGGCUGGAUGGGACUGGGCACCAGUCUGUGAGGAGCGGAGGAGGAGAGCUUUGAGAUCAUCUCAGCCAGUUCUUCAUUGUACGGCUAGGAGGAAGAGGCUAGACAGGUUCAGUGACUUGCCCCGGGGAUGACCCAUUCAUUAUGCAGCUUUGCUGAGCCCCAUCACCAAUCUCUUGCCAAUGGGGACUUUCUGGGGCUUAUGGAUUGCUCAGCUAAAAGCAGAAUCAAGAGUAGAACCUGCCUUGUGUUCCUCACAGGUUCAACGAGAGGCAGCCCCUUCACACGGGUGUGCGAGAGCCUCCCCUGUCAAAUGCUCCAGAGAGCACAGUGAGAAACUCCUCUUAGAUUCAAAAAGGCUCUAUUGUAUUGGCAGAUCAAAUUCAAAAGCCAGGAGGAAGAAGAGGAAUCAACUAGAGGGAGAAGAUUUCACUCCUUAAGAGAGUAUAAACCUCCAGUGGACCCAGCCAUGAGAAUCAGUUCACUCUUUCUUCAUUCUGUGUCUGCUUUUGAAGUGGCCAGAGAAGAGCUAGGAAGAAACUGAUUCUCUGGGCUACAGUGUCACUGCUGUCACUUUAAGAAGCAGAACUCCAGCCACAGGCCCACGGAGCUCACCUGCAGGUACCUACCAAGCCCUGUCCUAGUGGAAGGAGGCAGUCUAGCUCCUCCACUUCAGAUACCACCAUUUGGAGUCAAAUGAGGUCUGGCUGCAGCUUUUACCCCUUCCCUACCCAAGUAAAGGAUUUGCCAAGUACACUAAUCAUGUAAACAAGAUGGCUGAAGAGCAUUUAAACUAUUUAAGAGGAUAAAAGUUUUUGUAACCAUCUUUUGUUUUCCAAAGAAUGCAUUUGCUAAUAAAUACUUAAAGUCUUUUCUCUUUCCUUUACCCUUCCAACCAUGGCUUUUCCUAGGC